AUACGGAGGGUGCAAGCGUUACUCGGAAUCACUGGGCGUAAAGCGCGCGCAGGCGGUCUUUUAAGUUGGAUGUGAAAGCCUACAGCUCAACUGUAGAACUGCAUCCAAAACUAUUAGACUAGAGUCUGGGAGGGGAAGAUGGAAUUAGUUGUGUAGGGGUAAAAUCCGUAGAGAUAACUAGGAAUACCAAAAGCGAAGGCGAUCUUCUGGAACAGUACUGACGCUGAGGCGCGAAAGCGUGGGGAGCAAACAGGAUUAGAUACCCCAGUAGUCC
RNAcentral lists this ribosomal RNA (274 nucleotides) under uncultured bacterium. RNAcentral describes it as "partial 16S ribosomal RNA". It matches the Rfam family "Bacterial small subunit ribosomal RNA", at positions 523 to 796 of the family's 1533-position model. The record is from RNAcentral.